UAACACAGGAAGCACCUCUAGUGACCGUCUGAGUGACUGUCACUAGCAGUGUCACUUUGAAGCAAUGUAAACACUGCCUUUUGUCUGAAAAGUCAGUGUUUACGUUGAAAAGCCUGUAGGGACAUGCUAUAGACACCAGUACCACCACAUUAAGCUGUGUGUGUGCGUCUGCUAGUGAGUGAGCUUGCUUGCAUGCGUGUGCCUGCUAGUGAGUGAGCU
Non-coding RNA from Pelobates cultripes (western spadefoot toad), 219 nucleotides. The record is from the annotation of a GenBank genome assembly. NCBI's taxonomy places the organism in Eukaryota, Metazoa, Chordata, Amphibia, Anura, Pelobatidae.